This 58-nucleotide microRNA precursor is filed under the name Eisenia fetida (common brandling worm). RNAcentral describes it as "Efe-Mir-10-P3h_pre stem-loop". Lineage: Eukaryota; Metazoa; Annelida; Clitellata; Crassiclitellata; Lumbricidae. The record is from RNAcentral.
UCCCUGAGACUUUAACUUGUGAUUAAAUAAUCAUUCACAGGUCUCUUUCUCAGGAAGA